This 825-nucleotide long non-coding RNA is filed under the name Ailuropoda melanoleuca (giant panda). RNAcentral describes it as "lncRNA (ENSAMEG00000024354.1)". Lineage: Eukaryota; Metazoa; Chordata; Mammalia; Carnivora; Ursidae. The record is from RNAcentral.
GCACAUUCCGCAGAUGAAAGAUCUGUGAGAGUCUGAGACGUUCGGGACACACUUCUGAUUUUGCGGGGUCUCUCUCUUUUCCGAAUUCUUCGUCCGCUGUUUACAGAACACCAGCCACAGUGUUUGGGGAUGCACGGGAAUGAGAAACAGUCCCUCCUUUCAGGGAUCUUCCAAUCCGGCGGGUGGAGGAGCAGGAACUGAAGAAGAGGUUGAAGAUGGGACAGUUGGAACAGUGAAAAGACAGCAGCCGUGUAUCGAUACACAGACUCAGGGCCAGAGAAGACAAGAAAAUGAAGCCCCUGGAGGAAAUUAUCGACUGAAACAGAACAAAAGGAUCCUGGUUAAGCCCCUGCCCUGCCCCGGCAAAAUCCAGUGGAAGUGAUGUUCAAGUACACCCUGGCUAAUGGCCGGGGGAAUGGAAAAAUGAAUGUGAGUGUUGCUGGUCCCAUUCCCACUUUUCAGAAAGGGUUCUUCUUGAUGAUUGCUGUGCUGCGUUAAUACUUUCGGGCCAGCUCUAAGAGAAUGUCACAAACACUCACAGACUCUGGACUUCUUGACUGCAAGUUUCCUUCCCUUCACAUCAGAGGCCGCACUAUUACUGUUUAGCACAGUGCUUCGGUGGUUCCUUCCACAAGUCCCUGACCAAAAAGAUAACAUCUAAAUCUACAGUAGAGGAAAGAAAGUGAUACGUCCAGCAACUAUUUCUCAGAGAACUCUCUUUUAACUGGUAAGAGUGCUGGAAGCCAGUCCCCUUUCCAUAGCAUAGCAUCAUAUCUGAAACCACCUUACAGAGGCCCCAUAACGAGCAGGAAUGACAGAACUGCC